RNAcentral lists this long non-coding RNA (1171 nucleotides) under Panax ginseng (ginseng). Its description in RNAcentral is "long non-coding RNA (PGIN_LNC009215)". The record is from RNAcentral. Lineage: Eukaryota; Viridiplantae; Streptophyta; Magnoliopsida; Apiales; Araliaceae.
UUGCCCCUUUUCUGAUUUUGUCACAUGGAGAGCUUUGGAAGAUGUCAUGAGGUAGUAGGGAAAUAAAUCCCAGCAGUAAAUUCUCUCUCCACUUUGUGCUAAUAUUCUCUAUUUUGAUUUUAGGGUUUAUCAUGAAAAGAGGGGUUUAUUUCUUUUAUUGAUCACGUGCCUAUUCAACUGUGGAAUUACAAAGUACUUGACGUCAGAUGAAUCGACUAGGAACAAAUAUGGAGAAAAUCGAGAGAUGAAGUGUUGAACACACAGUGUCCUCAGAAUUUGGAACUAAGUUGGUAGACAAAAGUUAGUUCAAGCGACAUUGAUUAAAACAGUAUUUGGUAAAUUGCCAUGGCGCUAUCAGUAUCCGUCCUACCUACCAUCUAUACAUUGCUCGCAAAUUCGCUCAGUGGCGAUGAGAGCUUGCGGAAGCCACACUCUUUCAGUCUGAAAACCGACCUGGCUUCUGCUCUGGUCUUAUGGAAGUAAUAGAUGGAAAGAACUCCGACACACUAAAAAUUGCUCAUCUUGGGUAUCGACAAAUCCAUCAGUGCAACAUGUUCAGUCAUGACACUUCGGAUAAUAGCAGCUCACUUCAGAUUAUAUUGCACUGGUUUCAUUAUGUCUUCGGUUGUUCACUUUCGGCGAAUAUAAAGUCUGAUCAAAGUCUCCCACAAGGGUCGGGACGAUUAUUAUGGUAGCAUAAGGUCAAACGGGGUAUAAGGUCGGGCAAAACGUCCUUUGGAAGUGGCUUUGUUCCCCCGAACGGACAAAACGUCCUUCAGAAAUGGCUUUGUUACCCUCAAACGGACAAACGGACAAACGUCCUUCGAAAAUGGCUUUGUUCCCCCCGAAUGAACAAACGUCCUUCGGUUGUGAAAGGUUGAUUAUUUUUCUUCGGUUGUGAUAAGGUUGGUUAUUUGUCUUCAGUUCUGAUAAAGUUGGUAAUCUGUUUGGCGUAUGGUGUUUGGGUGAGACAGUUCAUCUUCGGUAGAUACGAAUCUUUAGUUAAGAUAAAUUUGUAUACUCUCGUAUUUUAAGUUUCUUAUAAAUAAGAGACUGGGGGUAAUGUUGGAAUGUAAUUAUUUGGGUCUAACCAAGGUGUAGCCCAACUUAUUUAAUGGACCGGAUUUGGUGUUGGCCUAUAUAUGUUUAUUAUCUAUUUGCUCAAAUAGUG